Molecule: long non-coding RNA, 230 nt
Filed under: Serinus canaria (Common canary)
Lineage: Eukaryota; Metazoa; Chordata; Aves; Passeriformes; Fringillidae
Description: lncRNA (ENSSCAG00000003144.1)
Source: RNAcentral
GCUAGAGAGUGAUUGAGUUGAUGACCAACCUCAUUUUAGCCAUCUGCACUUUGUAAAAGUUCUUUUGUCACACUUUCCAUCCAUUUCUCCUUCUGAAGAAUUUCCACAGGACAAUGUGGGGAUUUUUCAUCCAACAGCUGCACAGUGGGAGGACAGAAGGAAAGUUCAUUUUCACAGAGAUGACUUCCUGAGAAGUAAAAGGUCUAAAUGUAACUGCAAUAUAAAUGGAG